UGACAAACUACAAGACGAUUUUAUGAAACAACUGUAUGCGGUCGAAGACAAAGAAAACUCGAAGUACUAUCAGUUGGAAAGGGAGGAAAAAGAAGUAGCAGAUUGUCAGAGAAAUAUUAUAAAUAUCAAACAACACGCAACGGAACUUCAGCUCUUCCUUUCAAUGAAGCAGAUAGAAGAGGACGUCUCAGUCAAAGAUAAAUUCCUGCACUCAUUAUGCCAAGAUGGGAAGUUGAAGAAGCAUUCCAUUGUAUAUGAGAUAAACGGUACUAUUCAGAAUAUCAUGUCUGAUAUCAAUAGUUUUGGGGAAGUAAAAAUUGAAACCAGACUUUGCAAUAUCGUUCUGAGCACGAAGAAGAAAAAACAAGCCCAGAUAAUGGUACCAACCGUUCAAGCAGGAUCCAUUGAAAAUACACACGUGCAGAUCAACAAGACAAUAAACACCGAAUAGUGGAGUUAAAGAGUU
This 466-nucleotide long non-coding RNA is filed under the name Mytilus galloprovincialis (Mediterranean mussel). Lineage: Eukaryota; Metazoa; Mollusca; Bivalvia; Mytilida; Mytilidae. The record is from RNAcentral.